CCUACGGGAGGCAGCAGUGAGGAAUAUUGGUCAAUGGUCGGGAGACUGAACCAGCCAAGCCGCGUGAGGGAGGAAGGUACAGAGUAUCGUAAACCUCUUUUGUCAGGGAACAAAGGCGGGGACGUGUCCCCGGAUGAGUGUACCUGAAGAAAAAGCAUCGGCUAACUCCGUGCCAGCAGCCGCGGUAAUACGGAGGAUGCGAGCGUUAUCCGGAUUUAUGGGGUUUAAAUGGUGCGCAGGCGGUCUGUUAAGUCAGCGGUCAAAGCCCGGGGCUCAACCCCGGCCCGCCGUUGAAACUGGCAGUCUCGAGUUGGAGAGAAGUAUGCGGAAUGCGCGGUGUAGCGGUGAAAUGCAUAGAUAUCGCGCAGAACUCCGAUUGCGAAGGCAGCAUGCCGGCUCCACACUGACGCCGAGGCACGAAAGCGUGGGUAUCGAACAGGAUUAGAUACCCUAGUAGUC
This 459-nucleotide ribosomal RNA is filed under the name uncultured bacterium. RNAcentral's name for it is "partial 16S ribosomal RNA". It matches the Rfam family "Bacterial small subunit ribosomal RNA", at positions 338 to 795 of the family's 1533-position model. The record is from RNAcentral.